CGUGCGGUUCUAUUUUGUUGGUUUCUAGAGUCGCCGUAAUGAUUAAUAGGGAUAGUUGGAGGCAUUGGUAUUGAGUCGCUAGAGGUGAAUUCUUGGAUUGACUCAGACCGACUAUUGCGAAAGCAUUUGCCAAGGAUGUUUUCAUUAUCAAGAACGAAGGUUAGGGUAUCGAAAACGAUUAGAUACCGUUGUAGUCUUAACAGUAACUAUGCCGACUAGGGAUCGGUCGAUGUUAUUUUCUGACUCGAUCGGCACCUUACGAGAAAUCAAAGUUUUGGGUCUGGGGGGAGUAUUGUCGCCAGCUGAACCUAAGGAAUUGACGGAAGGCACCACAGUGUGGAGCUGCGCUUAUUGACUCACACCG
Molecule: ribosomal RNA, 364 nt
Filed under: uncultured fungus
Lineage: Eukaryota; Fungi
Description: SSU rRNA
Rfam family: Eukaryotic small subunit ribosomal RNA
Source: RNAcentral